AAUCUGGUUUUAUUUAAAACCACAAUUUAACCAAAAUAUUAGGCGU
Non-coding RNA from Zootermopsis nevadensis, 46 nucleotides. The record is from Rfam. NCBI's taxonomy places the organism in Eukaryota, Metazoa, Arthropoda, Insecta, Blattodea, Termopsidae.